GGAGGGUGCAAGCGUUAUCCGGAUUCACUGGGUUUAAAGGGUGCGUAGGAGGGCAGGUAAGUCAGUGGUGAAAUCUCCAAGCUUAACUUGGAAACUGCCGUUGAUACUAUCUGUCUUGGAUAUUGUGGAGGUAAGCGGAAUAUGUCAUGUAGCGGUGAAAUGCUUAGAUAUGACAUAGAACACCGAUAGCGAAGGCAGCUUGCUACACGAGUAUUGACACUGAGGCACGAAAGCGUGGGGAUCAAACAGGAUUAGAUACCCUGGUAGUCCACGCCCUAAACGAUGGAUACUCGACAUACGCGAUACACAGUGUGUGUCUGAGCGAAAGCAUUAAGUAUCCCACCUGGGAAGUACGACCGCAAGGUUG
This 367-nucleotide ribosomal RNA is filed under the name uncultured Bacteroidota bacterium. RNAcentral describes it as "bacterial SSU rRNA". It matches the Rfam family "Bacterial small subunit ribosomal RNA", at positions 527 to 896 of the family's 1533-position model. The record is from RNAcentral. Lineage: Bacteria; Pseudomonadati; Bacteroidota.